UACGUAGGGCGCAAGCGUUAUCCGGAAUUAUUGGGCGUAAAGAGCUCGUAGGCGGUUUGUCGCGUCUGCCGUGAAAGUCCGGGGCUCAACUCCGGAUCUGCGGUGGGUACGGGCAGACUAGAGUGAUGUAGGGGAGACUGGAAUUCCUGGUGUAGCGGUGGAAUGCGCAGAUAUCAGGAGGAACACCAAUAGCGAAGGCAGCUCGCUGGGACGUUACUGACACUGAGGCGCGAAAGCGUGGGGAGCGAACAGG
Molecule: ribosomal RNA, 253 nt
Filed under: uncultured bacterium
Lineage: Bacteria
Description: partial 16S ribosomal RNA
Rfam family: Bacterial small subunit ribosomal RNA
Source: RNAcentral